GGACAAUAAAAGACUACCAAUGACUAACAAGCAGGACAAAUGUUACAAUAUUUCUGUACCACGUGACUGCCAGAAUCACCAUUCUUGUGCAGUUUGGGUUGUCUAUUAAGUAAGAUGGUUACAUGAAAGUGGACAUUGUGAUGUACAGCAGCCAAGGCCAUGACUUGGAUGUUAUGGAGUGACUAAUGAGUAGCCAGGGUACAUAUGUGGAGGGGGAGAGACACCUUGGUUGGAAGCCCCAUAGAGGAGUUAUAAAGACAAACAAAGAAGCUUACUGGAUUGGGGGCAAUGGAGACGCCUGGGAGGUGAGUUCCCUUAACCUGAGAAGUGGAGAAAUGACGAUGACAGGAAACAAAGUCACGGCAUUUGAAAAGCCUGAGACAAACGGCUUUGAGAUCUGGCUGCUGCAGCUUGACGUGACUCUGAGAUGCUACAAUCCACUUAACUGAUCCUGGCACUUUGGACAUGAAGAGGAUGGCAUGGGUUGUCCCAGGUUACAGACUAAUCACAGUGCCGAAAAGUUGCUAGCAGAAAACUAGAUUCUCUGGUUGUUGUUCUUUCCCUUUAUUCUCGGUUGCCCAUGUGAAGCAGCAAUAUCGAAAUUGCGAUAUGUAAAGGACACAAAGGGUUUACAGUGAAAAAAAAUCAGUCUCCUAUCCACAGCUGUCUCUGACCAUUUAAGAUUCCUCCCCUUUUUGUUGACCUAGAAUUAGUUGUAGCUUGGGGUGUGAGGUUGGGAUCCAACACGCAGAACUUUUACAAGCCCUUGAGGUGUCUUUCCUUUGUUUAUGCUCUUCUUUUGGUAUUUUUGUGUUUAUUUUGCUUAUUCUUUCUCCUCUGUGAAGCCGAGAGUCCGAAAAUAAAUGAAAAGCAAAUGUUGUUCUUUGUUAAAAA
This 894-nucleotide long non-coding RNA is filed under the name Mus spicilegus (steppe mouse). RNAcentral describes it as "lncRNA (ENSMSIG00000011233.1)". Lineage: Eukaryota; Metazoa; Chordata; Mammalia; Rodentia; Muridae. The record is from RNAcentral.